UACGAAGGGGGCUAGCGUUGCUCGGAAUUACUGGGCGUAAAGGGAGCGUAGGCGGAUAGUUUAGUCAGAGGUGAAAGCCCAGGGCUCAACCUUGGAAUUGCCUUUGAUACUGGCUAUCUUGAGUACGGAAGAGGUAUGUGGAACUCCGAGUGUAGAGGUGAAAUUCGUAGAUAUUCGGAAGAACACCAGUGGCGAAGGCGACAUACUGGUCCGUUACUGACGCUGAGGCUCGAAAGCGUGGGGAUCAAACAGG
RNAcentral lists this ribosomal RNA (253 nucleotides) under uncultured bacterium. Its description in RNAcentral is "partial 16S ribosomal RNA". It matches the Rfam family "Bacterial small subunit ribosomal RNA", at positions 524 to 776 of the family's 1533-position model. The record is from RNAcentral.